Molecule: non-coding RNA, 165 nt
Filed under: bovine gut metagenome
Description: Lysine riboswitch
Rfam family: Lysine riboswitch aptamer
About the family: Riboswitches are metabolite binding domains within certain messenger RNAs that serve as precision sensors for their corresponding targets.
Source: RNAcentral
AAUAGAGGCUGCGGAAAGCAUAAGUAAGAAAAACGAGACCGCCGGGUCGCCAUCAGUUUUUCCGAAAGGGAUUUUCGCCGAAACCGAGGGCCUUCGGAAGGCCGCAGGUUGGGACGCAGGACAACAUCCUGCGGACUGUCACAUCUUUUGUGGAGAGCUAUCCGG